Molecule: non-coding RNA, 126 nt
Organism: Triticum aestivum (bread wheat)
Lineage: Eukaryota; Viridiplantae; Streptophyta; Magnoliopsida; Poales; Poaceae
Source: Rfam
UUGGUACUCCCUCCGUCCGGAAAUACUUGUGAAUAAAAGAGGAUGUAUCUAGAUGUAUAUUAGUUCUAAAUACAUCUAUUUUUAUCCAUUUUGAUGACAAGUAUUUUCGGACGGAGGGAGUAGAUG